AGUGAACGCUGGCGGCAGGCCUAACACAUGCAAGUCGAGCGGCAGCGCGUCCGACCACCCUCGGGUGGUCGGAUGGCGGCGAGCGGCGGACGGGUGAGGAAUACAUAGGAAUCUGCCCAGUCGUGGGGGAUAACCCGGGGAAACCCGGACUAAUACCGCAUACGCCCUACGGGGAAAGGCCGGGGAGUCUUCGGACCUGGCGCUAGUAGAUGAGCCCGCGUGAGAUUAGCUUGUUGGUGGGGUAAGUGGCCUACCAAGGCAACGAUCUCUAGCUGGUCUGAGAGGACGAUCAGCCACACUGGGACUGAGACACGGCCCAGACUCCUACGGGAGGCAGCAGUGGGGAAUAUUGGACAAUGGGCGAAAGCCUGAUCCAGCAAUGCCGCGUGUGUGAAGAAGGCCUGAGGGUUGUAAAGCACUUUCAAUCGUGAAGAAAAGUUAGCAGGCUAAUACCCUGUGACCUUGACGUUAACGAUACAAGAAGCACCGGC
RNAcentral lists this ribosomal RNA (491 nucleotides) under uncultured bacterium. RNAcentral describes it as "bacterial SSU rRNA". It matches the Rfam family "Bacterial small subunit ribosomal RNA", at positions 29 to 497 of the family's 1533-position model. The record is from RNAcentral.